RNAcentral lists this transfer RNA (62 nucleotides) under Nortia carinicollis. Its description in RNAcentral is "tRNA-Asp". Lineage: Eukaryota; Metazoa; Arthropoda; Insecta; Coleoptera; Cerambycidae. The record is from RNAcentral.
AAAGACUUAGUUAAUUUAUAACAUUAGCUUGUCAAGCUAAAAUUAUCUGAAGAUAGUUUUUA